UAGAGAGUAGUAAAAUGGAAUUACAGAAAGUUUUGAUCUUUCAAUUGUAGGUUCAAUUCCUAUCUCUUUAA
Molecule: transfer RNA, 71 nt
Filed under: Dryadobates olfersioides
Lineage: Eukaryota; Metazoa; Chordata; Amphibia; Anura; Aromobatidae
Description: tRNA-Gln
Rfam family: tRNA
About the family: Transfer RNA (tRNA) molecules are approximately 80 nucleotides in length. Their secondary structure includes four short double-helical elements and three loops (D, anti-codon, and T loops). Further hydrogen bonds mediate the characteristic L-shaped molecular structure. tRNAs have two regions of fundamental functional importance: the anti-codon, which is responsible for specific mRNA codon recognition, and the 3' end, to which the tRNAs corresponding amino acid is attached (by aminoacyl-tRNA synthetases). tRNAs cope with the degeneracy of the genetic code in two manners: having more than one tRNA (with a specific anti-codon) for a particular amino acid; and 'wobble' base-pairing, i.e. permitting non-standard base-pairing at the 3rd anti-codon position.
Source: RNAcentral